CCGGCCUUCAUCUUUCUCCUGUGCUGAAGGCUUCCUGCCCUCGAACAUCAGACUCCAAGUUCCUCAGCUUUUGGACUCCUGGAUUGGGGGAAGAAGUGUUGCCAGUGUGAUGCUCUCAGGAACUGCAAGAGAACAGCAAGCAAACAGAAUUCCUGUUAGCCAGUUGUGGAAUCAUGAACCCUGAGCCCACCAAGUGAAGAAUCAAUGGCUAGACUCCUGGAAGGUGAGAGAACACAUGGAGAGAAGCCAAACCAUCCCAGCAGAACCCAGACCUGUCAUACCAGCUACCAGCUGACUGCAAAUGAAUGAACUCAUUUAAUACCAACAGUAGACCCACCUACCUGAGCCUAGCCC
Long non-coding RNA from Homo sapiens (human), 354 nucleotides. RefSeq lists it as uncharacterized. Lineage: Eukaryota; Metazoa; Chordata; Mammalia; Primates; Hominidae. The record is from RefSeq and is a predicted model, not a curated record. The transcript is spliced from 4 exons.